GGGUGAAAUCUGGUGCCCAGGGGUGGUUGAGCAGGAGGUUCAAAAGGUUUUUAAGCUAUUAAAAUUUAGGCUUAAAACAGGAUUAGAUACCCUGUUAUACUAAGUUAAAAAUAAGUCGCUUGAGUAGUAAAUAGUUAUAUUCUCGAAACUUAAAGGAUUUGGCGGUAUCUUAGUCUUGUUAGAGGAAUCUGUUCUGUAAACGAUAAACCACGAAUUAUCUUACUCUUUCUUGUAAAACAGUUUGUAUACCGCCAUUAUUAGAUGGUUUUUAUAAGAAUCCAUUGAAAUAGUUUAUCGAUUAGUAUAUUAGGUCAAGGUGCAGCUAAUGAAAGAGCAAGUAAUGGAUUACAAUGAUAUGUGUGAAAACGAAUUAAUGGGGGAAUUCCUGUUUUAAAGGUGGAUUUAAUUGUAACACUUGUUUAAUAAGCAGGUUUGAUAAGGGCUCUAAGAUAUGUA
RNAcentral lists this ribosomal RNA (456 nucleotides) under Plesionika spinensis. RNAcentral describes it as "12S ribosomal RNA". The record is from RNAcentral. Lineage: Eukaryota; Metazoa; Arthropoda; Malacostraca; Decapoda; Pandalidae.